Molecule: transfer RNA, 70 nt
Filed under: bovine gut metagenome
Rfam family: tRNA
About the family: Transfer RNA (tRNA) molecules are approximately 80 nucleotides in length. Their secondary structure includes four short double-helical elements and three loops (D, anti-codon, and T loops).
Source: RNAcentral
CCGAUAUGGCUCAGCUGGUAGAGCGAUUCACUCGUAAUGAAUAGGCCACCGGUUCGAAUCCGGUUAUCGG